Molecule: ribosomal RNA, 406 nt
Filed under: uncultured bacterium
Lineage: Bacteria
Description: partial 16S ribosomal RNA
Rfam family: Bacterial small subunit ribosomal RNA
Source: RNAcentral
AUUGAACGCUGGCAGCAGGCCUCACACAUGCAAGUCGAACGAGUGGCGGACGGGUGAGUAAUGUCUGGGAAACUGACUGAUGGAGGGGGAUAACUACUGGAAACGGUAGCUAAUACCGCAUACCAUCGGAUGUGCCCCGAUGGGAUUCGCUAGUAGGUGGGGUAACGGCUCACCUCGGCGACGAUCCCUAGAUGGUCUUAGAGGAUGCACAGCCACACGUUAACGGAGCCACGGUCCAGACUCCUACGGGAGGCAGCAGUGGGGAAUAUUGCACAAUGGGCGCAAUCCUGAUGCAUCCAUGCCGCGUGUAUGAAGAAGGCCUUCGUGUUGUAAAGUACUUUCAGCGGGGAGGCGUUACCCGCAGAAGAAGCACCGGCUAACUCCGUGCCAGCAGCCGCGGUAAUAC